RNAcentral lists this ribosomal RNA (695 nucleotides) under uncultured Gilliamella sp. RNAcentral's name for it is "bacterial SSU rRNA". It matches the Rfam family "Bacterial small subunit ribosomal RNA", at positions 662 to 1357 of the family's 1533-position model. Lineage: Bacteria; Pseudomonadati; Pseudomonadota; Gammaproteobacteria; Orbales; Orbaceae. The record is from RNAcentral.
UAGAAUUCCACGUGUAGCGGUGAAAUGCGUAGAGAUGUGGAGGAAUACCGGUGGCGAAGGCGGCCUUCUGGACAGAUACUGACGCUGAGAUGCGAAAGCGUGGGGAGCAAACAGGAUUAGAUACCCUGGUAGUCCACGCUGUAAACGAUGUCGAUUUGGAGUUUGUUGCCUAGAGUGAUGGGCUCCGAAGCUAACGCGAUAAAUCGACCGCCUGGGGAGUACGGCCGCAAGGUUAAAACUCAAAUGAAUUGACGGGGGCCCGCACAAGCGGUGGAGCAUGUGGUUUAAUUCGAUGCAACGCGAAGAACCUUGCCUGGUCUUGACAUCCACAGAAUCUUGCAGAGAUGCGAGAGUGCCUUCGGGAACUGUGAGACAGGUGCUGCAUGGCUGUCGUCAGCUCGUGUUGUGAAAUGUUGGGUUAAGUCCCGCAACGAGCGCAACCCUUAUCCUUUGUUGCCAGCGAUUCGGUCGGGAACUCAAAGGAGACUGCCGUUGAUAAAGCGGAGGAAGGUGGGGACGACGUCAAGUCAUCAUGGCCCUUACGACCAGGGCUACACACGUGCUACAAUGGCGUAUACAAAGGGAGGCGACCUCGCGAGAGCAAGCGGACCUCAUAAAGUACGUCUAAGUCCGGAUUGGAGUCUGCAACUCGACUCCAUGAAGUCGGAAUCGCUAGUAAUCGUGAAUCAGAAUGU